This is a long non-coding RNA of Bos taurus (domestic cattle), 1128 nucleotides long. Lineage: Eukaryota; Metazoa; Chordata; Mammalia; Artiodactyla; Bovidae. The record is from Ensembl.
CUCAAAGGAGGGGUACAAACACAGGCCAGGCCGACCGGUCCGGGAGGUGCAUUCAAGAUGCCGUAAUGCAGACCGAGUCUGGAGGAUGUUUUCAUGACCCUUGGCGGGAGUAUCAGCAGCUGGAGGAGACGCGAGGCCUGAGCAACAUCAGGGUUUGGGUUUCUGUUUGUUUUUAGGGUGAGAGAAACUUGAAUCGUGGUGGGAAGGAGCUCAUAGAGAAACAGAGGUUGCAGCUGGUUGGCCAAUCUACAGGAAACCAUGAAGAACAAGUAUCUCCCUCUUCUCUGAAAUCUCCAACGCCCUCCGGACCUUAAGCACGUGGCUCUUUGUCUGAUGCCUGAGCUGACACCACUGGUAACUGUAUUCGCCACAGGGACCACUUUUCCUGUUGUGAGCAUUCUCUUAUUUUUGACUGUCCAGCAUUCAUCCCUUUCGAGGGUGUCAGACCCUGACUGUCUUUGGGAAAACAUCUAUUCUCUGCAUUUUCCAGGACUGAGGGGACCCAGCCCUUGCCAUUCAAGAGUUGCAUCCCCCUGGCUGGGGGCACGUGGUGCUGGGGGACCCUGGAGACCUCCCUCCUGGCUCUGCACCGGCCCACAGGCCAGGGGACACUCCUAGUUUCUGGCACAGGUGUUCAGAGAGCGUCUGUGAGCCUGAGCAGAGGGCGGAGCUAAGACAGCAGAAGAGAACGGGGGACAGACAGACUGAGUCUUGAUUUCGUCGUCACCCACAAUCUCUCACGCUGCCAGACUUCUCAGCUCUGUGCAUCUCAAUCUCAGCUCUGGUCAACUGGAUUUAGCUUGAUCGCUAUCAUCUGCUGCAGAAGCGUCUGGACUGAGCAUUGUGCUCUGUGUUCGUGCCGUGGGUCUGGGCUCCAAGCUCCCCCACGUACACGUCCCCCGGCCCCUGGACGUCAUGGCAGGCGAUGCUCUUCUGAUGUCAACCUUGGCUACUCCUCAGCCUACAGCUUGUAUCCCUGUUGGCCUCCGUCUAAUUCUGGCUGCUCUGGGUAACAAUCAACACGAUCCAAGUUUAGCUGGUGUUACUGCUCUGUUGCCCGGGGAACUACAGGCAGACAGAGAAAGUUCACAGCUGCCUUGAGCAAAGUAUUCUCAUGUCUCUCAGAAC